GACUGACUGGCUCGAUACUGACACUGAGGUGCGAAAGCGUGGGGAGCAAACGGGAUUAGAUACCCCGGUAGUGCACGCCGUAAACGAUGUCUACUAGCCGUUGGAGGACUUGAUCCUUUAGUGGCGCAGCUAACGCGAUAAGUAGACCGCCUGGGGAGUACGGUCGCGAGAUUAAAACUCAAAUGAAUUGACGGGGGCCCGCACAAGCGGUGGAGCAUGUGGUUUAAUUCGAAGCAACGCGAAGAACCUUACCUACUCUUGACAUCCAGUGAACUUUUGAGAGAUCAAUUGGUGCCUUCGGGAACACUGAGACAGGUGCUGCAUGGCUGUCGUCAGCUCGUGUUGUGAAAUGUUGGGUUAAGUCCCGUAACGAGCGCAACCCUUGUCCUUAGUUACCAUCAUUAAGUUGGGGACUCUAAGGAGACUGCCGGUGACAAACCGGAGGAAGGCGGGGACGACGUCAAGUCAUCAUGGCCCUUACGAGUAGGGCUACACACGUGCUACAAUGGCAUGUACAAAGGGUUGCCAAGCCGCGAGGUGGAGCUAAUCCCAUAAAGCAUGUCGUAGUCCGGAUUGGAGUCUGCAACUCGACUCCAUGAAGUCGGAAUCGCUAGUAAUCGUGAAUCAGAAUGUCACGGUGAAUACGUUCCCGGGCCUUGUACACACCGCCCGUCACACCAUGGGAGUGGGUUGCUCCAGAAGUAGAUAGCUUAACCUUCGGGAGGGCGUUUACCACGGAGUGAUUCAUGACUGGGGUGAAGUCGUAACAAGGUAACCGUA
Molecule: ribosomal RNA, 780 nt
Filed under: uncultured bacterium
Lineage: Bacteria
Description: bacterial SSU rRNA
Rfam family: Bacterial small subunit ribosomal RNA
Source: RNAcentral